AAACAAAGACAAAUCUGACUGAAGUCUCCCAACCUCUUCCUUGUAGUGCUCUUGCCUGUCUGGCCUGGGAAGGGGUGAAGAGGAGCACCAGCAAAAUGGGGAACAAAAACCCUCAAGGUCACUAUUGGAGCUAGGAUCAGCUGAGGAUGUAGAAGCAGCAGUUUGAAGGGAGAAUAUCUUUGAAUAAACCAGCUGGAAUAGGGAGAAAGGCUCAUCAAAUACAGACAGGAGAGGAGAGGAAAGGAAAGGAAAUCCCAGCUCCAUUGAAGCUGAAGCCAAAUCUCCCAUCAAAUUCAUUGGGGCUACAGUCUCACCUAAGCUGCAUAACACACUUAAAAAUGCUACUGGCCUGACAAUUAUACAAAAUAGACCCCACAUUUCUGUCCUGAGAGGGGAGAGGGAGCAGGAGGAGAAGAGGGGAACCUAACACACACAUCUGUCUGAUCCUGUGAGGCAUUUACCUCACAGUAGCAUGUACUUGGCAAAAGAUGUGAUGUAUGGAGUGA
Long non-coding RNA from Ficedula albicollis (Collared flycatcher), 506 nucleotides. RefSeq lists it as uncharacterized. NCBI's taxonomy places the organism in Eukaryota, Metazoa, Chordata, Aves, Passeriformes, Muscicapidae. The record is from RefSeq and is a predicted model, not a curated record. The transcript has 3 exons.